Molecule: ribosomal RNA, 301 nt
Filed under: uncultured archaeon
Lineage: Archaea
Description: bacterial SSU rRNA
Rfam family: Archaeal small subunit ribosomal RNA
Source: RNAcentral
ACGGGGUGCAGCAGGCGCGAAACCUUCACAAUGCACGAAAGUGUGAUGAGGGUACUCCGAGUGCGCAUACAUUGUAUGUGCUUUUCUGCAGCGUAAAUAGUUGCAGGAAUAAGGGCUGGGCAAGACCGGUGCCAGCCGCCGCGGUAACACCGGCAGCCCUAGUGGUGGCCGCUUUUAUUGGGCCUAAAGCGUCCGUAGCCGGAUAGGCAAGUCUUUGGGUAAAUCCUACGUCUUAAGCGUGGGAAUUCUAAAGAUACUACCUGUCUUGAGGCCGGGAGAGGCUAGAGGUACUCCUGGGGUA